Molecule: long non-coding RNA, 320 nt
Filed under: Mustela putorius furo (domestic ferret)
Lineage: Eukaryota; Metazoa; Chordata; Mammalia; Carnivora; Mustelidae
Description: lncRNA (ENSMPUG00000031135.1)
Source: RNAcentral
UUGCUGUGUCCCUUAUUGCAGUAAGUUCUACUAAAUGUGACUUUUGUUUAUUGAAGGGUUAUCUGGUGAUGUUUUGAGGAGUUCAACUACCUGGAAGUCCCACCAAGAUCCUACUGAAAACCUCCUUUGUGCCAAAGCCUAGUCCCUCUCAGAAAUGGUGGGCCACUGAGGCCAGUGAUGAGGAAGAAUUUAAGAGGAUUGAGAAUCCUUGCAUACACUGCUGUUUGUUCUUAGAACCGCAGCAUUCCUGGAUUACAAAACUUAAAGGUAUCAUUAAUUAUUAAGGAUUUUAGUAUAUAUUAACAUUAUUAAGGUUUUUG